RNAcentral lists this ribosomal RNA (2271 nucleotides) under Triticum aestivum (bread wheat). RNAcentral's name for it is "partial small subunit ribosomal RNA". The record is from RNAcentral. Lineage: Eukaryota; Viridiplantae; Streptophyta; Magnoliopsida; Poales; Poaceae.
AUGGAUAGCGACAUUUGUAUCAGACACAAAGUUGACCUGGAGCGGAUGCUGCUUGAUGAAAGUACAGAGCCAACGCGCCUGGCGUUAUCGCUUUUAGAAGACAUCACAAACUGUUUCUCUGAUGAUGAGCAAAUUGGCAGCGGUGGGUUCGCCAUGGUUUAUAAGGGAAUGGUGGGAAAAGGGAUGGUCGCUGUGAAGAAGCUGUCCAACACAUUUGGUGUGCAUGAGAAUAAAUUCUAUAAAGAGGUUGAGUGCCUAAUGAAGGUCAAGCACAAAAACAUAGUGCGUUUCUUGGGAUAUUGUUCCGACACGCAAGGGAGAACUGCAAAUUACGAAGGGAAGUUUGUCAUGGCAGAGCUGCGAAAUUGGUUGCUAUGUUUUGAGUAUGUAACGAAUGGAAGCCUCGAUAAGUAUAUUACUGACGCAUAUCGCGGACUUGAAUGGAGGGAGCGCUAUAAUAUUAUCAAGGGAAUAUGUGAGGGCUUACUUCAUCUUCACGAGAAACGCAUUCUCCACUUAGACCUGAAGCCUGGUAAUAUAUUGGUAGAUGAUCACAUGGUACCCAAAAUUGCUGAUUUUGGUCUAUCAAGGUGCCUUGAUAAAGAGCAAACCCGGGCUUCUACCUUGAACCCAUGUGGAUCGAUGGGAUAUUUGGCACCAGAAUCCUUCGGAGGGAAACUAACAUUCGCAUCAGACAUAUAUAGUCUUGGUGUUAUCAUAAUGGAAAUAAUGACAGGAGAGAAGGGAUAUCCAGAAGUGGAUGUGGUUAAGACUUGGAUGAAUCGGUUGGAGGGAUCAGAUCAAAUGGAGGCACACUUGGAGCAAGUGAGAGUAUGCAUUAAGAUAGGGAUGGAAUGCAUUGACUCGGACCCAAAGAAGAGACCAGUUGCACGGCAUGUAAAGGAUAGGCUUGAUAAAAUCACAAGUACCAUGGAAACUGGCAUCAGUAGUUCAUCAUUUGAACAAGUUAGUCUCCUAAAGGAACAAUGUUGUGAAGAGAAAGUUGCAAAGCUUUCAUCUGAGUACCUUGGAAAGGACAUCAAGGAACAUGCUGAAACAGAAGAACUUGCAAAAUAUAUUGGGGCACCUAAAGAAGAUCAUUGGCAGCAAAUUCGAGAAAAAGCUCCAGGUGAUCAAUGGUCAUUAUGGGGAGCGCAAGAUACAAAUCAAAAUGUCAUCCCACAUUGGCAGCAAGGUCGAGAAGAAGUUCCAGGUGAUCAGUGGCCAUUAUGGGGAGCGCAAGAUACAAAGCGGAUUGACAUCCCACAAGGUGCAAGCAGUUCUAGCUCUAACUCUGGUUUCCUCUACAAGCUAAACAAUUUGGACAUCUUCAACACAAAAGCACGCAGGAACUACGAGCGGUACGGUGGGCUUACAUUGGAGAAGACAAGAACUGUGAGACUUUUCAGAAAGGGUGAGCUCAAACCAUUUUUAAAGGAUAAGAAUUUGAUUGGAAAAGGACGCUAUGGAGAAGUUUACAGGGGACUUGUUGAUGAUUUUGCACCAGUCGUAGUAAGGAAGCUGAUUAGUGGUACUGUGCCGGAGGAUGGGGGACUAUUUCCAAAUGAAGUCGAGAUCCAAUGCCGGGUCAUUCACAAAAACAUCGUUAGGCUCAUAGGUUGUUGCUUGGAAGUUGACACCCCGAUGCUAGUCUAUGAGUUUCUCUCUAGAGGUAGCCUCAGUGACAUUCUUCACAGCAACAAGGUGUCUCUCAACUUGGAUUUGCGUUUAAGUAUUGCUGCAAAAUCAUCACAUGGUUUAGCUUAUAUGCAUUCAAUGGCCAGUAGUAGCAAUAUCUUACAUGGUAAUUUUAGACCAUCAAAUAUACUCUUGAAUGACAACUUUGAGCCUAAGAUCUCAGACUUUGGCAUGUCAAGGAUGGCUGUGCCACACACUGGAAUAGUUGCUGGUGACAUGGUUUAUAUGGAUCCGGUAUACCUACAAACAGGCGUGCUAACCAAACAAGGUGAUGUGUACAGCUUUGGAGUUACCAUCUUGGAGCUUGUUACUAGGAAGAGGGCCAACAGCUUAGUAAGGAUAUUCCUUGAGAAUCACAAGCAGGGUAAGAAAUCAACCGACUUGUUUGAUAAACAAAUUGCGGUGACGGAAGAUUUGGAGCUUCUUGACACUCUGGCAAGAAUUGCUGUGGAAUGCCUCAACCAUGAUGAGGACCUAAGGCCGACAAUGGUAGAUGUUGCAAAGCGUCUAUCUAUACUGAACCGAUCCCGUAAUGUGGGUGGACUAGUUGAUGCAUCUACUAGUGGAGUUUGA